Molecule: long non-coding RNA, 327 nt
Organism: Cygnus olor (mute swan)
Lineage: Eukaryota; Metazoa; Chordata; Aves; Anseriformes; Anatidae
Exons: 3
Source: RefSeq, a predicted model, not a curated record
CCGACCCCACAGCUGAGCCCAGCAGCAGUGCAGGUGGUGGCUCUGUGUAAAAGUGUUUAAGAAAAGCCGAAACACUGCCUGGCAGCGAGGACUGAGGAAAAAAAUUGUGAGAAACGGCUCUGCAGCACUGAGGUGUGUGGAGUAAUCAUCUAGAAGGUUUAAGAUGUGCUACUUCUACAGAACAUUCCUGCUGGGAGUUCCGACUACUUUCAACAUGGCUCAGUCCUACUUCCCCCAGAGAGCACGUGGCUGCCUGGCGAGGUCGGAUUUGUCUUGUAGACGACGUGGUUCAACAUCUGGCUGCUGCAGGUGCUUCCCCGGAAGAGC